UACGUAGGGGGCAAGCGUUGUCCGGAAUCAUUGGGCGUAAAGAGCGUGUAGGCGGCCAGAAAAGUCUGCUGUGAAAACUCGAGGCUCAACUUCGAGCUGUCGGUGGAAACUUUCUGGCUAGAGUCCGGAAGAGGAGAAUGGAAUUCCUGGUGUAGCGGUGAAAUGCGCAGAUAUCAGGAAGAACACCCGUGGCGAAGGCGGUUCUCUGGGACGGUACUGACGCUGAGACGCGAAAGCGUGGGGAGCGAACAGG
RNAcentral lists this ribosomal RNA (253 nucleotides) under uncultured bacterium. Its description in RNAcentral is "partial 16S ribosomal RNA". It matches the Rfam family "Bacterial small subunit ribosomal RNA", at positions 524 to 776 of the family's 1533-position model. The record is from RNAcentral.